GGUGAAGGAGGGGUUGAGGUCAGGAGGAGAGGACAGCGAUGUGUUGAUACAGGGAGACAGAUGGACAUCUGUGGAUUAGGUGAAGGAGGGGUUGAGGUCAGGAGGAGAGGAGAGCGAUGUGUUGAUACAGGGAGACAGAUGGACAUCUGGGUAUUAGGUGAAGGAGGGGUUGAGGUCAGGAGGUGAGGACAGAGAUGUGUUGAUACAUGGGGAGACAGAUGGACAUCUGUGGAUUAGGUGAAGGAGGGGUUGAGGUCAGGAGGUGAGGACAGAGAUGUGUUGAUACAUGGGGAGACAGAUGGACAUCUGUGGAUUAGGUGAAGGAGGGGUUGAGGUCAGGAGGUGA
Long non-coding RNA from Oncorhynchus tshawytscha (Chinook salmon), 346 nucleotides. NCBI's taxonomy places the organism in Eukaryota, Metazoa, Chordata, Actinopteri, Salmoniformes, Salmonidae. The record is from Ensembl.